This 253-nucleotide ribosomal RNA is filed under the name uncultured bacterium. Its description in RNAcentral is "partial 16S ribosomal RNA". It matches the Rfam family "Bacterial small subunit ribosomal RNA", at positions 524 to 776 of the family's 1533-position model. The record is from RNAcentral.
UACGAAGGUCCCGAGCGUUGUUCGGAUUUACUGGGCGUAAAGCGUCUGUAGGCGGCGCGGCAAGUCAGAUGUGAAAGCCCGGGGCUCAACCCCGGAACUGCAUCCGAUACUGCCGUGCUUGAGGAUCGGAGGGGAGUCUGGAAUUCACGGUGUAGCAGUGAAAUGCGUAGAUAUCGUGAGGAACACUAGUGGCGAAGGCGAGACUCUGGACGAUUCCUGACGCUGAGAGACGAAGGCCAGGGGAGCGAAAAGG